UUGUUCCAUGAUGUUUGCACAUUAUACCUUAAUUGAUGUUUGGGGGUGAAUGUACAGAUACUAGAUGAUCUCAGGAUGAAAAUUUAGAGCUAGAAGCUGGUAUUGUAGAGACAUUGACCAGCCUCUUUACUUGCGUCUUUUCAGAGUGAAGAUUAGAUAGCACUUUGUGUAAGAUCAUCCCUUCUUGGUUUAUCAUUUUGAAGAGGUCAUAUGUUGCUUUUUGUUCUCUUAAAUGUUGGAUAUAGCGGCUGAAUAUCUAACCUGUGGCCCCG
This 272-nucleotide unclassified non-coding RNA is filed under the name Hevea brasiliensis (rubber tree). The record is from RNAcentral. Lineage: Eukaryota; Viridiplantae; Streptophyta; Magnoliopsida; Malpighiales; Euphorbiaceae.